GUGUGUUAAGGGAGGACCGGACACGCGUGUGCCAGGGAGGAGGAUGCCACCACGCUCUUCGAAGAUGUGCGGAGUUGUCGUGCCUGAACGGUCACCGUAGCUGCCUUCGAGGAGGAUUUGUGCCUGCAUCUUAAUGUUCGCCAAGCCCAUUACAUCGCUGGUGCGGGACACACAACAAAACAAAUCUGAACCUCAGCGACAUAUUUGCUGGGAGAGAAGGAGGAUAAAAAGUGCAGGUCCUCUUCACAGGAUAGACCUUUUAUGUGUCAUGUCGACAAGGGUGUCUUUGAUAAGAUAUCCAAGCAGGCUGCAUGUGAGGUGAAUCAAGGUAACUACAUGAUGUAGUGAAGUAUAAACUCCUCUCCCUGUGAAUUUUAUGCCAGCUGGGCUUCAUUUUAAUGCUUGAGUCCUAAUAUUUCAUUUCUCCAAGCUUUUGAGUUCUAAUACUGUUGUAUUAUGAGGU
Long non-coding RNA from Triticum dicoccoides, 463 nucleotides. RefSeq lists it as uncharacterized. The record is from RefSeq and is a predicted model, not a curated record. Lineage: Eukaryota; Viridiplantae; Streptophyta; Magnoliopsida; Poales; Poaceae. The transcript is spliced from 3 exons.